This 204-nucleotide ribosomal RNA is filed under the name uncultured Thermovirga sp. RNAcentral describes it as "partial 16S ribosomal RNA". It matches the Rfam family "Bacterial small subunit ribosomal RNA", at positions 1181 to 1382 of the family's 1533-position model. Lineage: Bacteria; Thermotogati; Synergistota; Synergistia; Synergistales; Thermovirgaceae. The record is from RNAcentral.
GACGUCAAGUCAUCAUGGCCCUUAUGUCCAGGGCGACACACGUGCUACAAUGGCCGGCACAGGCGGGAAGCGGAGGGCGACCCUGAGCGGAUCCCUUGAAAGCCGGUCCCAGUUCGGAUUGCAGUCUGCAACUCGACUGCAUGAAGUUGGAAUCGCUAGUAAUCGCGGAUCAGCCAAGCCGCGGUGAAUACGUUCCCGGGCCUU